This 471-nucleotide ribosomal RNA is filed under the name uncultured Ferruginibacter sp. Its description in RNAcentral is "bacterial SSU rRNA". It matches the Rfam family "Bacterial small subunit ribosomal RNA", at positions 337 to 811 of the family's 1533-position model. Lineage: Bacteria; Pseudomonadati; Bacteroidota; Chitinophagia; Chitinophagales; Chitinophagaceae. The record is from RNAcentral.
UCCUACGGGAGGCAGCAGUAAGGAAUAUUGGUCAAUGGACGAAAGUCUGAACCAGCCAUGCCGCGUGAAGGAUGAAGGUCCUCUGGAUUGUAAACUUCUUUUAUCUGGGACGAAAAAAGGGAAUUCUUUCCCACUUGACGGUACCAGAGGAAUAAGCACCGGCUAACUCCGUGCCAGCAGCCGCGGUAAUACGGAGGGUGCAAGCGUUAUCCGGAUUCACUGGGUUUAAAGGGUGCGUAGGUGGGUCUGUAAGUCAGUGGUGAAAUCUCCGAGCUUAACUCGGAAACUGCCGUUGAUACUAUAGGUCUUGAAUCAUCUGCAGGUAAGCGGAAUAUGUCAUGUAGCGGUGAAAUGCUUAGAUAUGACAUAGAACACCAAUUGCGAAGGCAGCUUACUACGGAUGCAUUGACACUGAGGCACGAAAGCGUGCAGAUCAAACANNUUAGAUAGCCUGGUAGACAACCUACCAGG